RNAcentral lists this ribosomal RNA (370 nucleotides) under uncultured organism. Its description in RNAcentral is "bacterial SSU rRNA". It matches the Rfam family "Bacterial small subunit ribosomal RNA", at positions 526 to 896 of the family's 1533-position model. The record is from RNAcentral.
CGAAGGGGGCUAGCGUUGUUCGGAGUUACUGGGCGUAAAGCGCGCGCAGGCGGUCUUCCAAGUCAGUGGUGAAAGCCCGGAGCUCAACUCCGGAACUGCCAUUGAAACUGUAAGACUUGAGGAUGAGAGAGGUGAGUGGAAUUCCCAGUGUAGAGGUGAAAUUCGUAGAUAUUGGGAAGAACACCGGUGGCGAAGGCGGCUCACUGGCUCAUUACUGACGCUCAGGCGCGACAGCGUGGGGAUCAAACAGGAUUAGAUACCCUGGUAGUCCACGCCGUAAACGAUGAAUGCUAGCCGUUGGGCAGCUUGCUGUUCAGUGGCGCAGCUAACGCAUUAAGCAUUCCGCCUGGGGAGUACGGCCGCAAGGUUG